This 206-nucleotide ribosomal RNA is filed under the name uncultured Caldisericales bacterium. RNAcentral's name for it is "partial 16S ribosomal RNA". It matches the Rfam family "Bacterial small subunit ribosomal RNA", at positions 1182 to 1381 of the family's 1533-position model. Lineage: Bacteria; Pseudomonadati; Caldisericota; Caldisericia; Caldisericales. The record is from RNAcentral.
ACGUCAAAUCCUCAUGGCCUUUAUGUCCAGGGCCACGACACAUGCGACAAUGGUGAGGACAAUGGGAUGCAAAAGGGUAACCUAGAGCAAAUCCCUCAAAAACUACACCCCAGUACCGAUUGAGGACUGCAACUCGUCCUCAUGAAGCUGGAGUUGCUAGUAACUGUGAGUCAGCUAUAUCACAGUGAAUACCGGUUCCCGGGUUU